This 506-nucleotide ribosomal RNA is filed under the name uncultured bacterium. RNAcentral's name for it is "partial 16S ribosomal RNA". It matches the Rfam family "Bacterial small subunit ribosomal RNA", at positions 29 to 523 of the family's 1533-position model. The record is from RNAcentral.
AGUGAACGCUGGCGGCAGGCCUAACACAUGCAAGUCGAACGGCAGCACAGGAGAGCUUGCUCUCUGGGUGGCGAGUGGCGGACGGGUGAGGAAUACAUCGGAAUCUACCUUUUCGUGGGGGAUAACGUAGGGAAACUUACGCUAAUACCGCAUACGACCUUAGGGUGAAAGCGGAGGACCUUCGGGCUUCGCGCGGAUAGAUGAGCCGAUGUCGGAUUAGCUAGUUGGCGGGGUAAAGGCCCACCAAGGCAACGAUCCGUAGCUGGUCUGAGGGGAUGAUCAGCCACAUUGGAACGGAGACAGGGUCCAGACUCCUACGGGAGGCAGCAGUGGGGAAUAUUGGACAAUGGGCGCAAGCCUGAUCCAGCCAUGCCGCGUGGGUGAAGAAGGCCUUCGGGUUGUAAAGCCCUUUUGUUGGGAAAGAAAAGCAGUCGGUUAAUACCCGAUUGUUCUGACGGUACCCGAAGAAUAAGCACCGGCUAACUUCGUGCCAGCAGCCGCCGUAA